Molecule: ribosomal RNA, 482 nt
Filed under: uncultured bacterium
Lineage: Bacteria
Description: partial 16S ribosomal RNA
Rfam family: Bacterial small subunit ribosomal RNA
Source: RNAcentral
AUUGAACGCUGGCGGCAUGCUUUACACAUGCAAGUCGAACGGUAACAGGCCGCAAGGUGCUGACGAGUGGCGGACGGGUGAGUAAUGCAUCGGAACGUGCCCAGUCGUGGGGGAUAACUACUCGAAAGAGUAGCUAAUACCGCAUACGAUCUAUGGAUGAAAGCGGGGGACCGUAAGGCCUCGCGCGAUUGGAGCGGCCGAUGUCAGAUUAGGUAGUUGGUGGGGUAAAGGCUCACCAAGCCAACGAUCUGUAGCUGGUCUGAGAGGGCGACCAGCCACACUGGGACUGAGACACGGACAAGACUCCUACGGGAGGCAGCAGUGGGGAAUUUUGGACAAUGGGCGCAAGCCUGAUCCAGCAAUGCCGCGUGCAGGAAGAAGGCCUUCGGGUUGUAAACUGCUUUUGUACGGAACGAAACGGCUCUGGUUAAUACCCGGGGCUAAUGACGGUACCGGAAGAAUAAGCACCGGCUAACUACGUG